Molecule: long non-coding RNA, 188 nt
Organism: Vigna unguiculata (cowpea)
Lineage: Eukaryota; Viridiplantae; Streptophyta; Magnoliopsida; Fabales; Fabaceae
Source: RefSeq, a predicted model, not a curated record
GACCAAAAUUGCCAUCUGAAAUCACUGGGAAGACUGUUGAGGAGAUUAUCAAGGAGUGGAAUGCUGAGUUGCAAGAGCGAACUGGAAAAUUUAGAAAACAAACAAAUGCAAUAGCUGAAUGGGAUCGCAGGAUUUUGAACAAUCGUGAUGUUCUAUUGAGGCUUCAGAUUGAAGUGGCAAAGGUAGUC